ACACGUAAGGGGCGGAGCGUUGUUCGGAAUUAUUGGGCGUAAAGGGCGCGUAGGCGGUAUUGCAAGCCCGGCGUGAAAAGUCUGGAGGCUUAACUCCGGAACUGCGUUGGGAACUGCGAAACUAGAGUCAUGGAAGGGGAGUUGGAAUUCCAGGUGUAGGGGUGAAAUCUGUAGAUAUCUGGAAGAACACCGGUGGCGAAGGCGAACUCCUGGCUGAUGACUGACGCUGAGGCGCGAAAGUGCGGGGAGC
RNAcentral lists this ribosomal RNA (250 nucleotides) under uncultured bacterium. RNAcentral describes it as "partial 16S ribosomal RNA". It matches the Rfam family "Bacterial small subunit ribosomal RNA", at positions 523 to 769 of the family's 1533-position model. The record is from RNAcentral.